This is an RNA transcript of Xenopus laevis (African clawed frog), 4264 nucleotides long. It is a transcript of the gene named CCR4-NOT transcription complex subunit 10-A-like, with no coding region annotated. The transcript is spliced from 9 exons. The record is from RefSeq and is a predicted model, not a curated record. NCBI's taxonomy places the organism in Eukaryota, Metazoa, Chordata, Amphibia, Anura, Pipidae.
GGACUGGGGGCUGUGUUAGGAAAAGCGGGACUGUUUGGCAGUAUGAAGGCUGUUUAGGGGAAAGAACGUACAGGCCCCUAGCAACCACCUUCCCUCCCAAAGUCUGCAGCUCGCUGACAGCAGGGGGCCCGGUAAUCCAAGUAAAUGCAGCCAAGCCCCCUUAACACCUAAAACCUCCCGAGCGCUGGUAGACUGGGCCGCUCCCGAUGGCGGACACCCCAGGGUGUUGGAAAGUAUGUGGUGCAGUAGUGAGAGAAGCCUCUGUGUAUCUACUGUCAUAUAUUGUGUGUUUUAUUUACAGCGUUAACCCUGUGAUCAGUGUGACGUUGCAUGAAGGAGAGUGAAAAUGUAUAAAGCUAAUUGGGCCCUUGUAAGAGAGCAAUUGGUUUAGUUGCGUGCAGCAUAGCUAUGGACAUACAAAUCAGUCCCACAAUAUAGUGUGCAGUGAGCAGCCGGGGAAUAGUGCAACGCUGUGUGCUGCUGUAUUGCUGCAACUCAAGUGCUAUCAGUGCUGUACCACGUGCCAAAGAGUUACUUGAGCAAUUGUCACAUCAGCUUUGGGAGAGAGGAAGGUGUUGGCAAUUACAGAGGAGAGGGAAGCUCAUUCCUCCUCAAUAAAACACUAGUCAAAAUCCUUGUUUUCCCCCUUUUAUAUUUCACUUUGUGCGUUUCAUCUGCAUCAAGCAUUCAAGCGCAUAUAUAGAAUGUUACAUCAUUAUCAUUUAAAUAAAUGCUCGGGGGUCCAAGUCCUAAGUGAUUAUGUGCUUCCAUACAUAAUAUUAUAAUAAUUCAUGUGUUUUACGUUGCAUGAAUAUGUGUUGCCAAACUGCCUGACACUGGUAGCCUUACCCCAAAUGCCAAAUGAUCUUGCUUCUAUAAGCGACUUGUUUCUUCUCAACUGCUCCCCGCAUCUGAUAUUUUUCAUUCAGUUCAGAGAUUGGCUCGUUUGUGUUGGGAACAGUGGAUGAUAAGUCUGUGUGUGCUCACACGCUGCACAGCUGAGAUUGAGUUCAGCCCAAAUACACGGAAGAAGAUAUUUGCAGGCUGACCUCCUCCGCUGUGUGUGAGUACAUACUGGCUGAUCAGAUUCAAAUCAAUGGAGCAGAGACAGGGAGCAGAUUUGUUUAUCUCUGCCUGCAAAAAUACGCUGACUGACAACAGCCGGAGCCUUCAGCCUGUGUGCCUAUAACUUUAACAGAAAGUAGACAUUGUCCUUCCUAAGGGGUGCAGGCAAGGGCCCUUUUUAAAUAGUUUAGAGAGCCAGAAAAGCGGAUCACUAUGCAAACUACUGCCAUCAACUAGCAGAUGGCAUGCCUGCUUUAUGUCCGACAUCUAAGUUUGAUAUGAAAUUGCUCCAGAAUCAUGCAAAGUAAACAAACCUAUGUACAAAAAUAUUCUGUCUUAAAAACCCAGUUAGACAAUGUUUUUUUUACCCGUCUAGAUGAACUUCCUAUUUAAGAGCCUGCUAAGUAUUCUGAAAAUUUGGUUCCUAUUGCAGACCCCCCAGUGAAACACACUCAUCAUAUAAAAUCUAGAUACUAAGUGGAUUAUUGUUACAUUUCUUUUUAGUGAUCAUCGCCUUAUUUUAUAUUUGUCAGAGAUAAUUAUCCAUUUCAGUACACUUUUUUGAGUUAUCUGAUACACAAUAUUAUUUGAAAGCUGCUCCUCUGCUUUAACAGUUUCCUAUAUUAUGUGUAAACAAAUAGUUUAUUUGGGGGAAGUAUAACCGUAACACUGGAGAGCUCUUGAAUGUUUUUUGAAACAGAUAUGUGACAUUUUGUUAAUUUAAAAUUUCUGCCUAAAGUGUGUUCUUGAGCUUUUUCUGCUUGCUGUCUCGGGAAAAACACUGAAGGAACCUCUUAGUCCAAGAAGUUACUCACAGAGGAGUCCUAGACUAUAUCAGAGAAGAUUCAAGAAUGGCUGCAGACAAAGCAGGAGUGUGGUCUGGGCUGCUUAGGGAUCGUCAUAAACAAAGCUGCUUGAAUUCUGCAUGACUGAACAGGGAGUUGAAAAACACAAGGGCUCUGCUGAUUGGUCAAGCAUAUCUGACCAUGAGAAGGAAUUAUCAAGAAGUGCAUUACAAGCAUUUACAGCUGGUAAUUAUGAAGCCUGUCUACAGCAUCUAGGAGAACUUAAAGAAAUCAACAAAGAUGAUUAUAAAGUAUUCCUGAACUCCUGCUGUAGCUGAGUUGUAUAAGAGUGGCCAAACAACUACUGACCUGUUGAAGCAAACAGUUAACCAUUAAUGAAUGAGGUAGGCGUAUUUGUCUGAAAUCUCCUAGAUCGUCUCCUCAAAGCCCUACAGGACCGUUUACACCACACAGACAAGAAGAGAAAUUUGCGCAUGCCGUAUGCUUUCUGCCUGUAGAUUUAUAUCUUCUGACAUUCCAAACGGAAAAAGCCUUGCACCUGUUGGUGGUUCUUGAAAAAAUUAUUUUACAGGGGCACAGCAAUAAUAAAAAUGGUAAAAAUCAUGAGACAAACAGCAAUGCUAAUAAUAAAGAACCCUUUGCCCAGAGGGGUGAUGGCGGAGUUCAUGUAGAAGCAGCAAAAUCUAAAAUUCAUCGGGUUGAAUUCUCCUUUAAGCAGCUAAAGCUCAUCAUCAAGCCAGGAAUUCAAACGUAACACCUGCUUGAAGGUCACUGGGAGCAACAUCCAACGAGCCACUGCUUUACUUACGUGUGGGUGAUAUCUCACUACCUCAGCAGUCCAAGGACAGAAUGGCAGAAAAUAGAGCAUUUCUGAUCCAAAUGAAAGAAGAGGCCACAGUAGAAUUUGAAUACAAUGAAAAUUCUUGUUAUACUGCUACUCCAUUAACAUAGAUAUUAUUUUGAGGCAUGAAGAUAAACAGAAAUAUCCUUUAUUUACCGAGUAGCAGCACAUUUUUGCCAAACGGUAGCUUAGAGCGUGACCGUGUUGAGACUUCACUCAGAAUGGAGGACCUGCACAGAAAGAAAACAAGAUGAGAAAUGCGUUUGAUACACUUAGCAUGUCCUGCCACUGCUAAACAAACUCAUGUCCAAUGGCAAAUGCUGUAUCUACUGUGAUAUGUUUAUUAGUGUCUGCAAUUUGAUCUCAUUAGCUUUUGAGGCUAGUAAAGGCCUCAUUAUGAUGCCUAGUCCAGUUUAAGAAAAGCAGCAGAGAUGUGUUACUGUGCUUUUUACUUUAUUUUGCUCCAUUAUGAUCCUCUGUGGGUCCCAAUGACCUGUUUUAGCUGCUUGACACAGAAUUGCACAGGUUUUAGGUUGCCUGGAGAGUGGAGCUCCUUAGACAAGAGUCCUUUCUCAUUGCUCUGCUGCUGCACCCCACAAGAACUACUGUAUAUGUUUACAGGUUGUACAGUUCCCACCUUGCUUAGUUUUACUAGACACCCUUCUCAUCUUCCCGGAAGUAUACGUCAUAGAUAUAUUGGAUUGUCUUAAGUGUUUUCCACUGCCUUUCAUAUGGUUAUUACUUAUUAAAGACCAAAGAAAUUCGGAUGCACACCUGUAAGUUGCAAUUGUGUCCAAACGGUGAUUUAUUUGAAGCCCAGAGUAUACAUCACAAAGGGGCAACAUUUCUGACCCCUCCGGGUCCUUUAUCAAGAGGCUUGAUAAAGGACCCGGAGGGGUCCGAAAAGUUGCCCCUUUGUGCUGUAUACUCUGGGCUUCAAAUAAAUCACCGUUUGGACACAAUUGCAACUUACAGGUGUGCAUCCGAAUUUCUUUUGUCAUUUACCCAUUGACCCUUAUGCGAGGGAAGGGUCUUCUGGAUAAGCACCCUACACUUACAAGUGUGUUGGGAUUAGGUUGAGCUCUCCAUGUUCAUGCAUCGUAUUACUUAUUAAAGAGGCAAUAUGUCUUGAUAAGAGCAAAGGAAUACAGCAAAUACACAAGCAUUUGUUAAAGUGCAGUCUUCCUUUUGGCCAAUCAGAUGCAUGAGUUUAUAGACUGGCAGAACAUCAGCCAAAGUGAUUCAUAUCAGAAGAGGGGAAAAUAAAACACACAAGUUUAAGAGCCAACACCCACACAGCAGUGAAAAUAAAUGUAUUUGUGAUAUUUCUUUUUUUUUUUUAUACAUUUGACUCAAACAUCACGUACAGACACGUUGGCUGAAAUUUCUAUCUUUUAGUAUUUUGCAUAUGGAAGGAAUCUCAGGCACUUUAUUUUAGUUUUUUGUUUUUAAAUUAACUUUUUUUUUAAAAAAAAAAAAUAGAAAAAUGCUGUGUGCUUGUCAGCCAAUUGCUUAGCUACAGAACAACUGUAAUAAAGAAACAAAGGAAGUA